This 367-nucleotide unclassified non-coding RNA is filed under the name Hevea brasiliensis (rubber tree). Lineage: Eukaryota; Viridiplantae; Streptophyta; Magnoliopsida; Malpighiales; Euphorbiaceae. The record is from RNAcentral.
AUUUUUAGCAAUUGUUUAGUCUGUCGGUAAUUGUUUACAUGGGAAAGAAAAAGAAACGAGCGACAACUACUCCUAAGAAUACUAACAAAACCUGAAAAAUAUGGGUAGCUGUGAUGUUGCAAUUGACUGCAUAGAAGAUUAAGAAAUAGUUUCUCAAUAGAAAAAUACUAACCUCGCUUUCAAGUGCGCUGGCUUCAACUCAUUUACUAAUAUUAAAUUUAGAACCAUCAAUCAUUAAAUUUUUUUUAUAAUUUAGUCAAAGACUUUGAUUUCACCCAUAAAUAUUGCUGCAAUCAUCUUCUGCUUUCAACUUUUGCUUCAACCCAUUUCUUUCAUCUUUGCGAGAAGGAGACCAUGGCUGAAAUGA